GGAAAUUAGAUAAGAGUUAACAUGAAAUGCAAGACCCCUUAAACAGGUUAUUGAGAAGGUUAACCUCACAGACAUGUGAGUGCGAAAGCGAGAGAAAUGCUGGGUGGCUUGCUGGUUCAAAUGGUUGAUAAAUCUUACCCAUUCAAGGAAUUUUACAAAUAAAGACCUAAAAUUAACAGUUUGCACCUAGUGGCAUUCACAUAAUCAAAACAUCCUAGUGAAUCUAAAAAGAAACCUGAUGGUUCAGAUUGUUGAUCAAGUUAAAGAAAUUUCUAAGGUCUUGUGGACUACAUAUGUUUGCUUCAUGGAAGUAAAACUUUUUCUCCAGGAAAAACUUUU
Molecule: unclassified non-coding RNA, 339 nt
Filed under: Hevea brasiliensis (rubber tree)
Lineage: Eukaryota; Viridiplantae; Streptophyta; Magnoliopsida; Malpighiales; Euphorbiaceae
Source: RNAcentral